AUUGAACGCUGGCGGCAUGCUUUACACAUGCCAGUCGAACGGCAGCGCGGGCUUCGGCCUGGCGGCGAGUGGCGAACGGGUGAGUAAUGCAUCGGAACGUGCCCAGUAGUGGGGGAUAGUCCGGCGAAAGCCGGAUUAAUACCGCAUACGACCUGAGGGUGAAAGCGGGGGACCGCAAGGCCUCGCGCUAUUGGAGCGGCCGAUGUCGGAUUAGCUAGCUGGUGGGGUAAAGGCUUACCAAGGCGACGAUCCGUAGCUGGUCUGAGAGGACGACCAGCCACACUGUGACUGAGACACGGCCCAGACUCCUACGGGGAGCAGCGGUGGGGAAUUUUGGACGAUGGAGGCAACCCUGAUCCAGCCAUGCCGCGUACGGGAAGAAGGCCUUCGGGUUGUAAACCGCUUUUGUUCGGGAAGAAAUCCUCUUGGCUAAUACCCCGGGGGGAUGACGGUACCGGAAGAAGAAGCACCGGCUAACUACGUG
Molecule: ribosomal RNA, 484 nt
Filed under: uncultured bacterium
Lineage: Bacteria
Description: partial 16S ribosomal RNA
Rfam family: Bacterial small subunit ribosomal RNA
Source: RNAcentral